Molecule: ribosomal RNA, 415 nt
Filed under: uncultured bacterium
Lineage: Bacteria
Description: bacterial SSU rRNA
Rfam family: Bacterial small subunit ribosomal RNA
Source: RNAcentral
AGUGGCGAACGGGUGAGUAAUAUAUCGGAACGUGCCCUGGAGUGGGGGAUAACUAGUCGAAAGAUUAGCUAAUACCGCAUACGAUCUACGGAUGAAAGUGGGGGAUCGCAAGACCUCAUGCUCGUGGAGCGGCCGAUAUCUGAUUAGCUAGUUGGUGGGGUAAAGGCCUACCAAGGCAUCGAUCAGUAGCUGGUCUGAGAGGACGACCAGCCACACUGGGACUGAGACACGGCCCAGACUCCUACGGGAGGCAGCAGUGGGGAAUUUUGGACAAUGGGGGCAACCCUGAUCCAGCAAUGCCGCGUGUGUGAAGAAGGCCUUCGGGUUGUAAAGCACUUUUGUUCGGGAAGAAAUCCUUUGGGCUAAUAUCCUGGAGGGAUGACGGUACCGGAAGAAUAAGCACCGGCUAACUACG